This 113-nucleotide small RNA is filed under the name Marmota monax (woodchuck). The record is from RNAcentral. Lineage: Eukaryota; Metazoa; Chordata; Mammalia; Rodentia; Sciuridae.
GCCAGGCGUGGUGACUCACACCUGUAAUCCCAGGAGCUCGGGAGGCUGAGAUAGGAGGAUCACGAGUUCAAAGCCAGCCUCAGCAAUGGCAACUCAGUGACACCCUGUCUCUA